Molecule: ribosomal RNA, 240 nt
Filed under: uncultured Staphylococcus sp.
Lineage: Bacteria; Bacillati; Bacillota; Bacilli; Caryophanales; Staphylococcaceae
Description: partial 16S ribosomal RNA
Rfam family: Bacterial small subunit ribosomal RNA
Source: RNAcentral
CGGACGGGUGAGUAACACGUGAUAACCUACCUAUAAGACUGGGAUAACUUCGGGAAACCGGAGCUAAUACCGGAUAAUAUAUUGAACCGCAUGGAUCAAUAGUGAAAGACGGUUUUGCUGUCACUUAUAGAUGGAUCCGCGCCGCAUUAGCUAGUUGGUAAGGUAACGGCUUACCAAGGCAACGAUGCGUAGCCGACCUGAGAGGGUGAUCGGCCACACUGGAACUGAGACACGGUCCAG